UUUACCCACCCCAAUCUUGUUAGUAAUAUAAAUUGAAGCACGCGGAUCACGAACUCCAUCAAAGCAUCAAUCCAACACACCAACCUCGACAGCUCGUCCCUUCCUCCAGCACCAGAGAGAUCCCCAUUGGUCAGUUCCAGGCAAGGCCAUGGACCUCUCCAGUGCGACGAGGCUGCCCCUGGCCCUGCUCUUCUUGCUGCUCGCGGCCUCGUCCAUGGCGCUACCAGCGCAGCCAGUGAUGGACCGCGUGCGCUGGCGGGUCGACAGGGUCAACCGGCGAGGCCCCUCCAUCGGGCUCGUCAUGUCGUACGUCGACGAGGACACCGCGCUGCAGGCCUCCGGCUACUUCAGCCCGUGGCCUGUCCUCCCCUUCGUUGACCUCUACGGACGAAGGUUUCACAUCGGCAGCAUUCGAGGUGUGAAUGUUAUAUACGCAUUGACGGGACAACGCAGGUUGAACGCAGCUGUCACUGUACAGACUCUCAUCGAUGUCUUUAGCGUUUCUGGAAUUGUUCAUUAUGGCACAGCAGGAAGUUCCAAUGAUUCCAUGUCGUUUGGCGACGUCAGUGUCCCCAAGCUCGUUGCUUACACAGGCGCUUGGACAUGGAAGAAGUUCAGAUCAACAAAAGAGUCAUCAGCAGAACUAAGCUUUGGAGAAUAUAACGUCCCAAAUGGAGGAGAGAACCUGCUCGGAUCCCUGAAGUUCAGAAAUGAGGAGCUAUACUCAGUGGGUAAGCCUAUGGAAGAAGUUUUCUGGCUACCUGUAGAUUCAGCAUGGUUCAAAAUCGCAGAACAACUUAAGGUCAAACUUGAAAGAUGCAAUGACACUUUCUGCUUGCCGACAACUCCACAAGUUGUCUAUGGGCUUAAAGGAUCAUCAGCCGACAUGUUUCUAGACAACGCAGAAUACAGGAACUUCCUAUUCAGAGAAUUUGGGGUGUCAACAGUCGAUGAGGAGAGCGCAGCAGUGGUUAUGACAACAACAUCUCCUGGCGUACCUGUGAUUGUAUUCCGGGGAGUAUCUGAUUUGGCUGGAGGGGAACCAACAUGGUCGUCAACAAGCCUGAUGAACCUGGCAUCUAUUAAUGCAUUAAAAGUGGCAGUGGAGUUCAUCACUACAGCUGGCAAGCAGAAGUCAACAGUGUCAGCACAGUAAUAACUGAAGAAAAGAUGACUGUCAUACUCAUCCAUUACCACUCCAAUAUGAUUAUAUAGCAAUUGGAAAUUACGUUCAGAAUGAUAUGCAAUCCUGCUGCUUAAAUUCGCACGUCCUCUCCAAUAAAUGGAUAAAUGUUCGAGAUGUGUCAAAUUGAAGGACACCUCAGACUAUGAUUCUAUUUUCAAUGUAAUUUUGAGAUCAUGUGGAACAAAAUCGUGAGCCAGAGAUUUCACUUUUAUUAGAAUAAUACCAGCUCAUGCUACAUUAUUGGAUUUUCAUAAAGAAUUAUCAAUUUAGUCA
Molecule: RNA transcript, 1459 nt
Organism: Phragmites australis (common reed)
Lineage: Eukaryota; Viridiplantae; Streptophyta; Magnoliopsida; Poales; Poaceae
Gene name: bark storage protein B-like
Exons: 7
Source: RefSeq, a predicted model, not a curated record